Molecule: transfer RNA, 88 nt
Filed under: Acidimicrobiaceae bacterium
Lineage: Bacteria; Bacillati; Actinomycetota; Acidimicrobiia; Acidimicrobiales; Acidimicrobiaceae
Description: tRNA-Ser
Rfam family: tRNA
About the family: Transfer RNA (tRNA) molecules are approximately 80 nucleotides in length. Their secondary structure includes four short double-helical elements and three loops (D, anti-codon, and T loops).
Source: RNAcentral
GGAGGGAUGGCAGAGCGGACGAUUGCGACGGUCUUGAAAACCGUUGAGCCUUACGGCUCCGGGGGUUCGAAUCCCCCUCCCUCCGCCA